Cyprinus carpio carpio is the source of this 139-nucleotide long non-coding RNA. The record is from Ensembl. NCBI's taxonomy places the organism in Eukaryota, Metazoa, Chordata, Actinopteri, Cypriniformes, Cyprinidae.
AGUUGUGAGUAAGCCUCUGUCACACUUCAUGCAGAGUUUGAAAGUGAACUACCAGACAAGACCAUUACUGGAACCUCAUUCUGCAGGCCAGGCCUUUAUCUGUUGUCUUUCUGUAUAUCAUCAUGACAAACCCAUCAUC